RNAcentral lists this ribosomal RNA (501 nucleotides) under Triticum aestivum (bread wheat). RNAcentral describes it as "partial small subunit ribosomal RNA". Lineage: Eukaryota; Viridiplantae; Streptophyta; Magnoliopsida; Poales; Poaceae. The record is from RNAcentral.
AUGGAUCACAAACUUCUCAUAGAGUUUUGGAACGUGCAUGAGCUUAACUGCCGUGCCAAGCGCACUGCCGUCCGUUCGGUUGUCUCUUCGGCAGACCCAUGUAUUGUGUGUCUCUCUGAAACUAAGCUCAGUUCCGUUUCGUUGUCGGCUUUGAUGGAAACCCUGGGUGCUUCCUUUGUGGAUUUCUUUUUUCUCCCGGCCACUGACACCCGUGGCGGUGUUCUCCUGGCCUGGCGCAGCGACCACGUCUCCCUCGCUAACCCCAUCGUUGGGGUCUACCACGUCUCGGCCACCGUCUCUCGUGGUCCUGAUUCCACCCCCUGGUGUCUCACGUAUGUCUACGGGCCACAGGCCGUGGCCGACAAGCUCGCCUUCGUGUCUGAGCUCCACGAGCUGCGGGACAUCAUUGCUGGUCCAUGGCUCAUUGGCGGCGAUUUCAACCUGGUCACCUCGAGCGCCGAUAAGAGCAAUGGCAACAUCAACCAGCGCACCUCUGGCUGA